RNAcentral lists this ribosomal RNA (252 nucleotides) under uncultured bacterium. RNAcentral's name for it is "partial 16S ribosomal RNA". It matches the Rfam family "Bacterial small subunit ribosomal RNA", at positions 524 to 776 of the family's 1533-position model. The record is from RNAcentral.
UACGGAGGAUGCGAGCGUUAUCCGGAUUUAUUGGGUUUAAAGGGUGCGCAGGCGGUCUGUUAAGUCAGCGGUCAAAGCCCGGGGCUCAACCCCGGCCCGCCGUUGAAACUGGCAGUCUCGAGUUGGAGAGAAGUAUGCGGAAUGCGCGGUGUAGCGGUGAAAUGCAUAGAUAUCGCGCAGAACUCCGAUUGCGAAGGCAGCGUACCGGCAUCCAACUGACGCUGAGGCACGAAAGCGUGGGGAUCAAACAGG